Molecule: ribosomal RNA, 429 nt
Filed under: Chloroflexota bacterium
Lineage: Bacteria; Bacillati; Chloroflexota
Description: Chloroflexi bacterium partial 16S ribosomal RNA
Rfam family: Bacterial small subunit ribosomal RNA
Source: RNAcentral
UGGGGAAUAUUGCACAAUGGGCGCAAGCCUGAUGCAGCCAUGCCGCGUGUGUGAAGAAGGCCUUCGGGUUGUAAAGCACUUUCAGCGGGGAGGAAGGCGUUAAGGUUAAUAACCUUGGCGAUUGACGUUACCCGCAGAAGAAGCACCGGCUAACUCCGUGCCAGCAGCCGCGGUAAUACGGAGGGUGCAAGCGUUAAUCGGAAUUACUGGGCGUAAAGCGCACGCAGGCGGUCUGUCAAGUCGGAUGUGAAAUCCCCGGGCUCAACCUGGGAACUGCAUUCGAAACUGGCAGGCUAGAGUCUUGUAGAGUGAGGUAGAAUUCCAGGUGUAGCGGUGAAAUGCGUAAAGAUCUGGAGGAAUACCGGUGGCGAAGGCGGCCCCCUGGACGAAGACUGACGCUCAGGUGCGAAAGCGUGGGGAGCAAACAGG